GCAAGUCGAACGAGAACGGCACUUCGGUGUUUAGUAUAGUGGCAAACGGGUGAGUAACACGUGGGAACCUACCUUAUAGUUUGGGAUAACAGUUGGAAACGACUGCUAAUACCAAAUACGCUCUACGGAGGAAAGAUUUAUCGCUAUAAGAUGGGCCCGCGCUAGAUUAGCUAGUUGGUAAGGUAAGAGCUUACCAAGGCUACGAUCUAUAGCUGGUUUGAGAGGAUGAUC
This 231-nucleotide ribosomal RNA is filed under the name uncultured bacterium. RNAcentral describes it as "partial 16S ribosomal RNA". It matches the Rfam family "Bacterial small subunit ribosomal RNA", at positions 57 to 305 of the family's 1533-position model. The record is from RNAcentral.